UCAGCUGAAAUUACAUAUAACUUCUCGAACUCAAAAAAGUGGUUUAUUUUUAUUUUUUUGGGUUAUUAUAUGUACAGUUAAAGGAGUUGGCCUAGACUCAUGAGAUUCUGAAUGAUUCUGAGUAAUCAGUGAACAAUAUGGUGAGGACGUGCUCAAGGAUCGAAAGGGUGGUGGCGGUGGGGGCCAUGACCCAUAUGACAUCUUCCAAUCUUUCUUAGAUGGCAGUGCUUUUGGAGGUUAUAAUUCAGUGAAUUGUUUUUUUCUUUAUAUUGUGUAUAUAGUCGUAAACCAGCAAUUAGAAAAGGAAAAGGAAGAAAAUUUGCUAAGACAUUGAGCAUACCUCGUUUCAUUGGAAGACCUUUAUUUUGGAACCUUAAAUAAGCUGUCACUUUCCUGGAAUGUGAUAUGUUCCAAGUGUAAUGGGUUAGUAAAACUUUGCAAACCAGUAAGGAAAUUCCUGGACUCAGGUUGGUUUAUGGUUUUGGACUCCACUGAUGAAGACUGAAUUGACCGCAUGGAUUUAAGCUCUAAUCAUUACACUUGCAAACCAGUAUGGAAAUUCCUGGACUUUGGUUGGUUUACGGCUUUGGACUCCAUUGGUGAGGACUGAGGAUGACCACAUGGAUUUAAGCUCAAAUCAUUUGGUGUGCAAAUCUCCUUUGAGCUUUAAUAUUAGCAUUCAUCUGGAAAGAAUAUUGGCAUCAUUAUUAUUUCCUCUCUUAAUGUUGUGGAAUGUUGCUAAUCAUUAAUGUCUCCCUCCAAUUAAGUAAUGUUGAAUAUUAGCUUUAAUGAAUUCAUUUGAAAUUCUCUCAUAUGCAAAAUGAGAUUGUUUUUCUUCAUCUGCUGGCCAGACCAGCAAAGGAAGGACAUACUUUAGAAGCCAAGAAAAGGAAAAGAAAGCCCCAUCUACUAUGAAAAAGCUAUAUAUGUGUUUACAAGCUGCUGGUUAGAGAAGAAAGAAAGAGGAGAUUCCCAGGAUCCAAAACGACAACACUUUGCUGCCACAUCAGUUAAUAAAGGGCAGAAAGUUAUUUCACAGGUUGCUUGCCACGUUGGAGCUGCUGGGAUUAAUUGAACGCACCGUUUUGUUGUUUCUGGAAUAUAUAUGUGUAUUUUUUGGUCUGCUUCUUGAUAUAUCAGAUAUAGAAAAUUAGAGAGGGAAAAAAGAGAGAACGGUUGCAGACCCGUAUAUAGAGCUGUGUGCGAAAACAGAGUCCUUUGAGUUUUGAGAGCCAUUCUUUCUUGUUUUCUUUGUGUUCUCAACGUGGGUUUGAGAGAGAUCUUUGUGGAGAUCGAAGAGUGAAUGGGUGUAUUGGGUUCUUGGGUUUUGGCUUUGGGAAUUCUUGUGUGAAUCGUCCAUUAGAGGGUCUGCAACUGAGCUUGUAAACACUACAUUUACAUAGUGCAGAAAGCUCUACACCUGAGCAACGAGGACGUAGGUCGAUUUUGACCGAACCUUGGAUAAAGGUCCAGAAAUACUAAAGCAUUAUCAGCCUUAAAUACUGGGAUGACUGCAUUGAUCCCCAGGAAAUGGAAGCAUUGUGGAAAACUCUGGAAGUGACUGCAGAACGGUCUUGGCUGAUAUAGUUCUCUGCAUGCAUUCUGGUUCAGAAUUUGGUCCUGGAGUCGACAAGAAUAUGGAUAUAUAGAAGAGCAUACAGGUUCAUCUUUUGCCCCUUCUGUUCAUGGUAGGGUAAGCUAAUCUUGACGUCUAAGAAAAUCAAUUUUUAAAUUCUUAAUUAUUGAUUAAUUACAAUGCCCAAAACACACAAUGAGCACUGCUCAGUUUUUAGUAUUGAAAUUUGUACAGGCAGGUAGAUGUGGCAUACAUCAUCACAU
This is a long non-coding RNA of Ziziphus jujuba (common jujube), 1839 nucleotides long. RefSeq lists it as uncharacterized. The transcript is spliced from 6 exons. Lineage: Eukaryota; Viridiplantae; Streptophyta; Magnoliopsida; Rosales; Rhamnaceae. The record is from RefSeq and is a predicted model, not a curated record.